RNAcentral lists this ribosomal RNA (447 nucleotides) under uncultured bacterium. Its description in RNAcentral is "bacterial SSU rRNA". It matches the Rfam family "Bacterial small subunit ribosomal RNA", at positions 330 to 793 of the family's 1533-position model. The record is from RNAcentral.
UCCAGACUCCUACGGGAGGCAGCAGUGGGGGAUAUUGCACAAUGGGGGAAACCCUGAUGCAGCGACGCCACGUGAGUGAAGAAGUAUUUCGGUAUGUAAAGCUCUAUCAGCAGGGAAGAAAAAAGACGGUACCUGACUAAGAAGCCCCGGCUAACUACGUGCCAGCAGCCGCGGUAAUACGUAGGGGGCAAGCGUUAUCCGGAUUUACUGGGUGUAAAGGGAGCGUAGACGGCAAUACAAGUCGGAAGUGAAAUACCCGGGCUCAACCUGGGAACUGCUUUGGAAACUGUAUGGCUGGAGUGCUGGAGAGGUAAGCGGAAUUCCUAGUGUAGCGGUGAAAUGCGUAGAUAUUAGGAGGAACACCAGUGGCGAAGGCGGCUUACUGGACAGUAACUGACGUUGAGGCUCGAAAGCGUGGGGAGCAAACAGGAUUAGAUACCCUCGUAU